CUGCAACUAAGAGAUUCUCUGUGUGUGUGGUUCUCUCGUUGUUUCUUUCUUUCUCUUUCAAGAUUCUGCAUCUUAGCUUCUCUUCUCCAUUUGCAAGUCAAACCCAGUAUCUUUUCUUUCUCUUCUUAGAAAUAAAGCAUUCAUAACAAGUGAAAGAACAGUGCCAGAAAUUGGAACUUCUAGCUGAUUGUCUAUUUGAGAUUUCUUUUGUGGAUUUGGCUGAAUGAACUCUCAUCAAUGCCUUUAUUAGAUAUUGCUACUGCUCAGGCGUCCUUGCAAAAUCAUCUUAGUCCAUUAGGGGUUAAAUCCCUCGUUCACUCUAAGGUUUUAUCAAGUCCAUUUACAUUUGGGGAUGAGAAGAGACCAUUAUCUGUGUGGAAAUCAUUCCACUUCCCUACAAAGUUAAAUGCUUAUGAGAGGAGUAAACUUCAGAUCAAGGCAGUUGCUACCCUUGAACUCAAGUGUGUAGUUCACAAGGAGGAUGGACACAGGACCAGUGAAAAUGCACAGCUUGAUGUCGAUUCAGAUUCCUCAAAGGUUCAGGCUGAGUUCUCAAGUGCAGACUCAACGGAAUUGGAUGAGAGAGAAAGGUUGAGGCGGAUUAGGAUUUCUAAAGCAAAUAGAGGAAAUACACCAUGGAACAAAGGGAGGAAGCACAGUGCUGAAACCCUUCAACGGAUUAGAGAAAGAACAAAGCUUGCAAUGCAGAAUCCUAAGAUCAAGAUGAAGUUGGCCAAACUUGGACAUGCUCAGAGUGAAGAGACAAGAAUGAAAAUUGGAGCUGGAGUGCGAAUGAGGUGGCAAAAGCACCGCGAGAAGAUGACUGUGCAGGAAACUUGUGUCUUUGAGUGGCAAAAUUUGAUUGCAGAAGCUUCAAGAAGAGGAUAUCUUGGUGAGGAAGAGCUGCAGUGGGAUUCCUACAAGAUCUUAAGAGAAAAGCUUGAAGUUGAAUGGGUAGAGAGUGUCGAACAAAGAAAAGCAGUGCAUAGGCCAAAGGGUAGCAAGAGAGCACCAAAGUCCCCUGAACAAAGAAGAAAAAUUGCUGAAUCCAUUGCUGCCAAAUGGGCUGAUCCUGUGAGUUCACAUUGAAGAUUGUCAUACUUCAUGUUUUCUGCAUUGAGCAUAACUUAUGAAAUUGGAGUACAAGCCCAAUCUAUUGAAUUCAAGGGUGAAAGAAAAAUAGAGGAUGAAAAAUUCAAUUUGGGAUAUGAAAAAGGAAAAAGGGAUGUUCCCUGGCCAAGAAAAGAUGGCACAAUACCUAAUUUUAUAUAUGUAGCUCUACAUAAUCAGUGGGAAAAGAUGUGGGUUUGGACAUGAUAUACCUACUGAAUUCAAUUUGGCUCUGAGAUUAUCCUUUUGCACUUGCCUGAACCUGUCAUGGACCUCACUAAUCACCAUCUGCAUGUUUCCUUGUUAACAGUCUACAAUCAACUGAUCCCUUGUUAGCUGAGUUCAUUUGUUGUGUCUCAUGGUAGUAAAAGUUAUAAAUGAUUCAGCUCUGCAGCUGGAAACUUGUGCGUGUUUAUUCUUCACUUUAAUUUAUUUUUAUGGUCACACUAGGCAUACCGAGAACGAGUUUGCUCUGCAAUUGCUAAAUAUCAUGGCAUACCAGCUGGAGCUGAAAGGAAGCCAAGGCGAAGGCCAAGUACACAAUCCAAGAAACAGGACCCAACAAAGAAAAAAACUAGGGAUACCAACAACUUGUCUGGAAGUGACACUACAAGCCCAAUUCAGCAACUAAGGUCGCAGAGAAGUAAGACACCAUUGUACAACGAUCCUUUGGCAGGUUCAAAGUUGGAGAUGAUAAAGAACAUCAGAGCACAAAGAGCUGCCACAGAAACCAAGAAAACUGAAGCCAUUGAACGAGCAAGGUUGUUAAUAGCUGAAGCUGAGAAGGCUGCUAAGGCCCUUGAGGUUGCUGCAACAAAGAGCCCUGUUGCUCAAGCCUCCCUCCUGGAAUCUAGAAAGCUUAUAACUGAAGCAAUUCAGUCACUUGAAUCCAUAGAAACUGUGCAUAUCACAUCUAGUAAGAAUGACUUGGACCCUUCUCUUGGCCCAACUGAACGGGUUAGCCAGGUUGAGAUGGGAACGGACAUGGGAAAUGGAAGCUCUAAUCAAGCAGAGUCAAAAGAAGUAAAUGGGACCAAAAUCCUUGCAUCAAGUAAAUAUGAGGACCUCAAUUUCUCCAACUUAUCCUUACAUGAUAUUCUGAAUGGUGAGAAUGAACUUCUCUCUACAAACUCCAGUGGGUAUAGUUUGCCUUCAAUUAGAUUGGAGAGUCUCGUAGAGCAGCUGGGUUUGCCAAAUCAAUUUGGCCGAUUGGAACCACAUGGGAUUAUUAAACCUCAAAAGAAUCGUUUACUGAAUGGAUCCCAUGUUCAGCAAGUGAAAGAGGAGUCACCUUCUAAACCAAUCUCUAGCACUAAGAAAUGGGUUCGCGGAAGACUUAUUGAAGUGAAAGAGGGUGAUUAGAUUCGACUCAUAGAAAAUUUCAAAGUUGAUCACAUUAUCCAAAUUUUAUCUUAGCUUGGGGAUGACAUGAGCAGUGUGAUUCCUCAUCGUGGUUCUUUCUGAUCCAAGAACCCAGGAAUCCUGCUAACACAAAGUUGCUAUUUCAGCUUGUCACUAUAUCUUAUAAUAUUUGGUUCUGUAAUACAUAGUUGAUUAAAAGAAUUUUUGUUAAUACUGAAUACUUGAAGAAACAUUGGUAUCAGCAAUACUUUUAUUGUUCUGUAUGAGAUUAAUCAUCAGAUUUAAUUAUAAGCAUUGGUUCUUUCGCUGUGAUAUUGUUCAAUAUUUAGAGACUGGCCAAAGUCUAUUUGCUU
This 2825-nucleotide unclassified non-coding RNA is filed under the name Hevea brasiliensis (rubber tree). Lineage: Eukaryota; Viridiplantae; Streptophyta; Magnoliopsida; Malpighiales; Euphorbiaceae. The record is from RNAcentral.